This 554-nucleotide ribosomal RNA is filed under the name uncultured bacterium. RNAcentral's name for it is "partial 16S ribosomal RNA". It matches the Rfam family "Bacterial small subunit ribosomal RNA", at positions 355 to 902 of the family's 1533-position model. The record is from RNAcentral.
UGGGGAAUUUUGGACAAUGGGCGAAAGCCUGAUCCAGCAAUGCCGCGUGUGUGAAGAAGGCCUUCGGGUUGUAAAGCACUUUUGUCCGGAAAGAAAUCCUUGGCUCUAAUACAGUCGGGGGAUGACGGUACCGGAAGAAUAAGCACCGGCUAACUACGUGCCAGCAGCCGCGGUAAUACGUAGGGUGCAAGCGUUAAUCGGAAUUACUGGGCGUAAAGCGUGCGCAGGCGGUUUGCUAAGACCGAUGUGAAAUCCCCGGGCUCAACCUGGGAACUGCAUUGGUGACUGGCAGGCUAGAGUAUGGCAGAGGGGGGUAGAAUUCCACGUGUAGCAGUGAAAUGCGUAGGGAUGUGGAGGAAUACCGAUGGCGAAGGCAGCCCCCUGGGCCAAUACUGACGCUCAUGCACGAAAGCGUGGGGAGCAAACAGGAUUAGAUACCCUGGUAGUCCACGCCCUAAACGAUGUCAACUAGUUGUUGGGGAUUCAUUUCCUUAGUAACGUAGCUAACGCGUGAAGUUGACCGCCUGGGGAGUACGGUCGCAAGAUUAAAACUC